RNAcentral lists this ribosomal RNA (253 nucleotides) under uncultured bacterium. Its description in RNAcentral is "partial 16S ribosomal RNA". It matches the Rfam family "Bacterial small subunit ribosomal RNA", at positions 524 to 776 of the family's 1533-position model. The record is from RNAcentral.
UACGUAGGUGGCAAGCGUUGUUCGGAUUCAUUGGUCGUAAAGGGUGCGUAGGCGGCGCGGUAAGUCGGGUGUGAAAUCUCGGAGCUUAACUCCGAAACUGCAUUCGAUACUGCCGUGCUUGAGGACUGGAGAGGAGACUGGAAUUUACGGUGUAGCGGUGAAAUGCGUAGAUAUCGUAAGGAAGACCAGUGGCGAAGGCGGGUCUCUGGACAGUUCCUGACGCUGAGGCACGAAGGUCAGGGGAGCAAACGGG